Molecule: regulatory RNA element, 147 nt
Rfam family: Leucine operon leader
About the family: At least 6 amino acid operons are known to be regulated by attenuation.
Source: Rfam
CGAGACACGACACUAUGUUCAAGUUUACUGUCCUACUAAGCCUACUACUAAACGCAUCCUUCUUGCGCGGUAGGUUUGUGGGCAGACUUCAGAACUAAGUUUCUCGCCACACGAUACAAAAACCCGCGCUGAUGCGCGGGUUUUUUU